ACGUACGCUGGCGGCACGCCUAAUACAUGCAAGUCGAACGAAGUAGCAAUACUUAGUGGCAGACGGGUGAGUAACAUGUAGGUAUCUACCCUUUGGCCUGGAAUAACACGAGGAAACUUGUGCUAAUACCGGAUAAGUCUUUACGGAGAAAGCUUUAUGCACCAUUGGAUGAGCCUGCACUUGAUUAGUUUGUUGGUGGGGUAAUGGCCUACCAAGACUGUGAUCAAUAGCUGAUUUGAGAGGAUGAUCAGCCACAUUGGGACUGAGACACGGCCCAAACUCCUACGGGAGGCAGCAGUAGGGAAUCUUGCACAAUGGAGGAAACUCUGAUGCAGCGAUGCCGCGUGAGUGAAGAAGGCCUUUGGGUUGUAAAGCUCUUUCGUCGGGGAAGAAAAUGACUGUACCCGAAUAAGAAGGUCCGGCUAACUUCGUGCCAGCAGCCGCGGUAAUACGAAGGGACCUAGCGUAGUUCGGAAUUACUGGGCUUAAAGAGUUCGUAGGUGGUUGAAAAAGUUAGUGGUGAAAUCCCAGAGCUUAACUCUGGAACUGCCAUUAAAACUUUUCAGCUAGAGUAUGAUAGAGGAAAGCAGAAUUUCUAGUGUAGAGGUGAAAUUCGUAGAUAUUAGAAAGAAUACCAAUUGCGAAGGCAGCUUUCUGGAUCAUUACUGACACUGAGGAACGAAAGCAUGGGUAGCGAAGAGGAUUAGAUACCCUCGUAGUCCAUGCCGUAAACGAUGUGUGUUAGACGUUGGAAAUUUAUUUUCAGUGUCGCAGGGAAACCGAUAAACACACCGCCUGGGGAGUACGACCGCAAGGUUAAAACUCAAAUGAAUUGACGGGGACCCGCACAAGUAGUGGAGCAUGUGGUUUAAUUCGAAGAUACGCGCAGAACCUUACCAACACUUGACAUGUUCGUCGCGACUCUAAGAGAUUAGAGUUUUCGGUUCGGCCGGACGAAACACAGGUGCUGCAUGGCUGUCGUCAGCUCGUGUCGUGAGAUGUUGGGUUAAGUCCCGCAACGAGCGCAACCCUCACUUUUAGUUGCCAUCAUUAAGUUGGGCACUCUGAAAGAACUGCCAGUGAUAAGCUGGAGGAAGGUGGGGAUGACGUCAAGUCCUCAUGGCCCUUACGUGUUGGGCUACACACGUGCUACAAUGGUAUCUACAACAGGAAGCAAGACUGCGAAGUUAAGCAAAUCCCUAAAAGAUACCUCAGUUCGGAUUGCACUCUGCAACUCGAGUGCAUGAAGCUGGAAUUACUAGUAAUCGUGGAUCAGCGUGCCACAGUGAAUGCGUUCCCGGGUCUUGUACUCACCGC
RNAcentral lists this ribosomal RNA (1317 nucleotides) under uncultured Alphaproteobacteria bacterium. RNAcentral's name for it is "bacterial SSU rRNA". It matches the Rfam family "Bacterial small subunit ribosomal RNA", at positions 29 to 1393 of the family's 1533-position model. Lineage: Bacteria; Pseudomonadati; Pseudomonadota; Alphaproteobacteria. The record is from RNAcentral.